GUACCGCUGGUAACGAAGGAGGACGUGUGAAGCCAGGUCUUGUCAUGCUACAGCCCCCUGCUCCUCCAGCGCCGAGGCCGCCGUCAGCGCGACACGUCACAGCCCGAGAGCGGCAGGAAAACGCGGAAGGGUUCAAACGCGGGCCCAGCAGAAGAUAAGACACGAGAAUGUCAGCACGUGACCGGAGGAAAUAACCUGCACAGAACAAUCGGCAGGUCGUGGAGCUUCAAAGACUCACUCUUGGCUUUGCUGAGGUGCAGGGAAUGGUCAGAGACGGGCACGCGGAACGCCUCUCCGGGGUAGACGUGUCCUCCAGCGUAGUUGUGGCAUUGGGAGUUUUUGCCUUCUUCUGCAGACGCGACGGUGCCCAGCAGGAGCAGAGCGGCCAGCAGAGCGCAGAGGAACUCCUUCAGGGUGCAGGGCAGACAGGACUCCAUGAUGGAGAAUCAACAAACACGUAGCGGCAGAUGAGGAGGAAGGAACUGGGAGGAACGCCUUCUGGAGUCUUCUUCUUCGUGGGAUCAUUUCAGGGAAGCGGGACUACUGAUUGGAGCACCACUGCCACCGUGUGGACUUCAUUAAAACAGCAGUCUGGAGCCACUAUGGUAGAUCAAUGGGUGACGUCAGAGAUGAGUCUUCCAUCUGUGACUCUUUAGCCUUAAAGAAAAAUUCUAAUAAAUUUGUUAAUUAAAUUUUGUAAUUUAAGUUUUUUAUUUUUUGAUGAGGUGGUCUCAUAUUAGUAAAAUAAACCUUUUUUGUUAACCAUUCAUGGCCUUGCAUGCUUUAUUAAUCCUCCAAAAUACCAGGCAGUCAUGUUAAAUCUAUUGCCAGAACUAUUUAGUAUUACAAUAAGUUUCAAACACACUAGGAGAACUUAAAUUAAGUCUAUAGAAUUACAUUAUACUGACUGCAAAUAAAUCUGCUGCAUCAUGUUUGAGAGUAUUUUAUUUUGAAAUGAACUUGUGUGCUGCUGUCAGAAUAAACUCUUCUUGACUUUAUAGUUAAGAACCAUUAUAUUUAAGUAAUAGUACCGUUAAUGUGUAUUGUAUGUAUUACUGAAAAAAAUCUCUAUUUAUGGACAUGAGAAUUGACAUUUUUAAGAGGAUGGAUACUGUCUUUUUACAUUUUUAUUUUUUACUCUUUGUUUUUUAAUCAAUACUUCACUUUAUUUCUUAAAUGAGUUUGAUACAUCUGUGUGAGUUCUUGUCGAAUAAUCUACAAUUAAAACUAUUUCAAAUUGGAAUAAAUUAAAAAAUCAAAACCAAUUGUUUCUUGAAUUCAUUAAAAAAAUGAACAUGCUUACAUUUGAAAAAUGACAAGGGGGCCUUCUUAGUUGUUUUUAAUUUGCAUUUAAAAUUAAAGUAUAAUGAGGGUGUUUUAACCAUUAAAUGUGUACAAUGAAAGCACAGAGACAAUUAUAUCUUCCAAUCUUUUUAUUCUCCCCAUAAUGUAACCGUUUUUCCCAAAUAUUCACAUCACAGCCACUUCAAGUUGAACUUGAACUGAUAUGAAAAAAAUAAACAUUUUGUAUUAAGAACUCUUUUUUCUGCUUCUAUAGUCUCACUAAGGGUUUCAUAAAAUGUUCAACAUGAACCUGUCUUUAAAAAAAAAAGGUUUUUAUUAAACUAUUAAUGUGAAAUUCAAAGUCAGCUACAGAAGGGCUAAAAACAUAACACCUCAUGUCUCUUAGGUUUGAAAAGGAAAAUUCACAUAGAUGUAUGUACAUCAGUUAUCUGCCAUAACCAUGUUUACAUUUCCUGCUGUUGCUAUGGGGAAUUCAAUGACAUUUUUUAAAAUAUUAACAACAAAAACACUGAUUGAGCUUUAAAUUUGGGUUUUUUCAAAUUAACUUAGAUGUAAACAGCCCAGUCCUGCUUCAGAACCUCAUUCUUUCUCUUCAUAGCUGCAGGUCUGUCAGGCACAUCUUUGGUUUGGCAAAAUAAAUAUAUGUAUGUGUUUUCAUCCCCCCUUUUUAUACACAAAAAGAAAACACUGUUUUUUUCAAAAUGACUAGCAUUCCUAUGCUGCCUUUUCUCAUGUCUCUGUUUAUUCUUUAGUCCCCAUGGAUACAAAGUCAAGUAAAAUAUGUUUUGGACACGAUGUGUUUUUGAGAGGAAGAGUAACGUUACUUUUUAUUUCAGAUUUAUUCCUGUACAUGUGAGGACUAAACCUGCUAAACACAGGAGCCGGGAUUGAUGACAGAAUGCUUCAAACACAUUUUACACAGUUACCACCAUUAUUAGUACUUCAGUACAUUAAAAAAAAUAAAAAA
Oryzias melastigma (Indian medaka) is the source of this 2272-nucleotide long non-coding RNA. RefSeq lists it as uncharacterized. The record is from RefSeq and is a predicted model, not a curated record. The transcript is spliced from 2 exons. NCBI's taxonomy places the organism in Eukaryota, Metazoa, Chordata, Actinopteri, Beloniformes, Adrianichthyidae.